RNAcentral lists this unclassified non-coding RNA (586 nucleotides) under Hevea brasiliensis (rubber tree). The record is from RNAcentral. Lineage: Eukaryota; Viridiplantae; Streptophyta; Magnoliopsida; Malpighiales; Euphorbiaceae.
CCCACAACAAUUAGGGAGAGAAAUUCAAUCAAAUCCCAUCACUACGCGCUCCAAAUCCCUCCCAAGUUCACUAAGUCCCCCAAUUUCUCAUUCAUUGUUUUAAAAACAGAGUAAAACGUGAGGCAUGCAACAGCAAGUGAAUCAAAUCCAAAUCUAUGCGCUGCUGAUUCGUAAGACACACUGUAUGGGCGAGAUGGCAAAGGGUAGCAGAAAUGGCAGAAUCAGGAGGAAUGGAGGGGGAAAGGAAAGAGAGGAGGGAAGGUGAAAGAAGAGAAAGAAGAUUUGUAGGUUUGCUUGGAUAUGCAAAAAAUUUGACACCAGCAAGGGUUGAAGUCCGAGACGGAAGAAAGGAGGCAAUAAAAAAAGGUCUGAGGAGGAGAAAGGGAAGGAGGGGUAGAUAAAGGGAUGAAAGAAAGGAGGUAUGCAAGGCUGUAUCUUGGGGCAGAUUUGCGGCUUAUGAGAGAAUGUAUCUUUUAAUUAAUAAAUCCUUGUGGAUACGCUGAUGACAUAAAAUGGAACAAAUGAGUUUUUUGGAUGUUAAAUUGAAGUUAAAUGAAUUAUAUGGAAAAAAAAUUAAAGUUAGAUG